This 492-nucleotide ribosomal RNA is filed under the name uncultured bacterium. RNAcentral's name for it is "partial 16S ribosomal RNA". It matches the Rfam family "Bacterial small subunit ribosomal RNA", at positions 29 to 507 of the family's 1533-position model. The record is from RNAcentral.
AGUGAACGCUGGCGGCAUGCCUAACACAUGCAAGUCGAACGGACGCACAGUAAGCUCUUGCUCUUACGGUUGGCGAGUGGCGGACGGGUGAGGAAUGCAUCACCAUCUUCUAUGUCUUGGGUGAUAUCGUAGAGCCACUUCUGCUAACACCGCAUACAUUCUACGGGAUAAAUCAAUAGUGAUUCGCGCCUUUCGUGUUUCUUUUAGCUGAUGCCGGAUUAGCUAGUUGGCGUGGUAAGGGCCCACCAAGGCAACGAUCCGUAGCCGGUCUGAGAGGAUGAUCAGCCACACUGGAACUGAGACACGGUCCAGACUCCUACGGGAGGCAGCAGUGGGGAAUCUUCGACAAUGGGCGAAAGCCUGACCCAGCAAUGCCGCGUGGGUGAAGAAGGCCUUCGGAUUGUAAAGCCCUUUUGUUGGGAAAGAAAAGAAGCAGAUUUAUACACGGCUGUUCUGACGGUACCCAAAGAAUAAGCACCGGCUAACUUCGUG